UUUUAGUGUAUACAUAACAUACUCCUUUUUAGUAAACAUUUUUUUAUUAAUUAACGCUCUCCCUGCUUGCAGUACAAGUAUUUUUUUUUUGGGUGACUAAACAAGGAAAGAAACAAAGCAAAAGCUAUUCUAAAUCCGAGCGAAUGAUUCGUUGGAGAUCAACACCAGGCUCAGACCAAAUAACAUGAUUAGAGUUACUCUUGGCACCAUAUUUAGCCAUCCAAUCCGCAGCUCUAUUUGCUUCUCGAGACACCCAUUCAACGUGAACAAGCCAAGGACGAGAUAAAAGCUCCUG
This 295-nucleotide long non-coding RNA is filed under the name Arachis ipaensis. RNAcentral's name for it is "long non-coding RNA (AIPA_LNC000779)". Lineage: Eukaryota; Viridiplantae; Streptophyta; Magnoliopsida; Fabales; Fabaceae. The record is from RNAcentral.